CGUAAACCGACACAGGUAGUCAGCUCGAGUAGAGCAAGGCGAACGAAUGAGAGGUCUCCAAGGAACUCGGCAAAAAAGCGGCCGUAACUUCGGAAUAAGGCCUGCCUUGUGCGAAGCACAAGGAAAUUCUAAUUUCUAAUUUCUAAUUUCUAAACAAAUUCCAAAUUCUAAAAUUCAAAUCUCAAACGCGGUUGUUUGGGGCUUGUGAUUUCUGAUUUGUGUUUUGUUUAGGGUUUAGAGUUUAGUUUUUAGGAUUUCCUCGCGCUUCGCGCGAGGCCACAGCUAAAGUCUGCCUGGCGACUGUUUAUCAAAAACACAGCUCCCUGCGAACUCGUAAGAGAAUGUAUAGGGGGUGACACUUGACCAAUGCCAGAAGGUCAAAUAACGGCGGUGCUAUGGUCGCAAGAUUGUAGUGCUGACUGUUAUAAGCCCUGGUGAAUGUCGGCGAUAACUAUAAUCGUCCUAAGGUUUCAUUACGCAAUAUAUAUGACAAAGUGUCAAAUUGCGUAGUGAAAGGAUUGGGACGAUUAUGGGUAAAAAUUGAUAAACAAAAUUAAACUAUUCAAACAGUAAAAUAAGACGCUGCCCAUUUCGCAAAAGCGGAAUGUCCUAAACUAGCUAUAUGCUGGAAUAUCCGAGUAUCUUCAAGUACUCACAAGCUGUAGAAGUUUAACUUUUACAGGAGUAAAAAUCUUGAAGUGCGGACAAUCAGCAGGAAAGCUUGUGAACUUCAUUGAGGAAAAAUAAAAGAAAGGAGGUGUAUAUAUGGGUCCCACUAUUCUGUUCGGUGGACUAAGCUGGUUUGCAUACUGGUUUAUUUUCACUCCAACAAGCGUUGAUGGAAGAUCAACCCUUGUAUUGGUCACCGUCUUUUUGGCGGUGGUAGCAGUAAAAUGCGAUCAUUGGAUCGAAGAACGAAACAGCCGCCAAAACGGCAAAACUCGAUAAGAAUCACUAGAGGGCUCUCAUCGAGUCCUCGAAGUUCACAAGAAUCCUCAGAAACCAAACGCUAGCUCCGAUGUAAGUCGGAGAAGAUAGAGUUCGUCCUGCAUGGCGACAUNNNNNNNNNNNAUUCCUUAAAGAUAGGGACCAUCCGCCGUUGCGGAUGGAAAACUUGGCUAUAUGCUGGAACAUCCGGUGUAUCCAACAGUACCGAAAGGUAACAAUCUGUUGGUGCGGCCUAAUCCGUAAGAACGGACGGCCAACGGACAAUCAGCAGGAAAGAUCCGCCUUUUGCGGAAAUCCUCAACGACCAUACGCCAAGGCCGCUUCGGAAGCGGCAUGAUAUGGCCUGAACUGCAUGGCGACAUGCAGAGUUUGGCUCGCGCCAAACCGCCAAGCACAUUAUUGAUAGUGUGCUCGGUCACUUCCGCUUCUGUCGCGGAACACAAGUAACAGAUUGUGUCGGGUAAGUUCCGACGCGUUGAAUAGUGUAACGUCUGGGCAACUGUCUCGGAGACUCGUUCGGUGAAAAUACAAUACCGGUGAAGAUGCCGGUUACCUGCAGCUAGACGAAAAGACCCCGGAAGCUUUACUGCAACUUGGUAUUGCUUGUAUGUUUUAACUGCGUAGCGUAGGCGGGAGACUUUGAAGUCCUGAUCUCGGUCGGGAUGGAGUCGCCGAUGAAACACCGCUCUGUUGAAAUGUACCGGCUAACCUCGCCGGCAAAAACGGCGAGAGACAGUACCUGGCGGGCAGUUUUAGUGGGGCGCUACCCUUCUAAAGAGUAACGAAGGGGUCCAUCAAGGUCAGCUAGGCGCGAAUGGAAACCGUGCCGAUAGUGCAAUGGCAUAAGCUGGCCUCACUGUAAGGCGUAAGUGCCGAACAGACGCGAAAGCGGGGCAUAGUGAACCGACCGUUCGCAUUAGAUGCGGCGGAAGAUUAUCUGCUAAAAGCUACUCCGGGGAUGGACGCUGAAAUAAGCGUCUUGUUGUCCCUUCUAUCAGUAAUGAUAGAAUUAGUAUGCGGCUUAUAACGGUGGAGCGAGAAUCGGUCUUUCCUCAAAAGAGGUUUUCGUAUUCUCGUAAUACCGUGGGAAGUCCCACUACUUAAGUAAAGUGGGACCCCGUAACGACUGGAUUCGAGUCCCGCCAACAGGCGAGAUAAGAUGAAGAUAGUGGAUGCCCGAGUGCUCGAUGUUCGAAUAGCACCGCUAUAAUACGCCGCCUCCAGCCGUAAUUUUUGAUUGGGCUUUAAGGUUCAACCUUCUUCCCGAUUCAAGAUUGAACCUUGGAAUCAAAAAUUACGGCUGGAUGAAGAUAUAGUCUAAUUAUCGAAAGAUAAAUUGAACAGGCUAGUUCCGCCUAAGAGUCCAUAUCGACGGCGGAGUUCGGCACCU
Molecule: ribosomal RNA, 2338 nt
Filed under: Candidatus Taylorbacteria bacterium RIFCSPLOWO2_12_FULL_49_67
Lineage: Bacteria; Candidatus Tayloriibacteriota
Description: partial 23S ribosomal RNA
Rfam family: Bacterial large subunit ribosomal RNA (bases 1-1971)
Source: RNAcentral